RNAcentral lists this transfer RNA (68 nucleotides) under Megachile strupigera. RNAcentral's name for it is "tRNA-Leu". The record is from RNAcentral. Lineage: Eukaryota; Metazoa; Arthropoda; Insecta; Hymenoptera; Megachilidae.
UUUAAUAUGGCAGAUUAGUGCAAUGAAAUUAAAAUUCAUAUAUAAAAUAUAAUAUAUUUUUAUUAAAA